GGAGAGAUACCCAAGUGGUCAAGGGGACUGUUUGCUAAACAGUUAGCACUAUUAUUAGUGGCGCAGGUUCGAACCCUGUUCUCUCCU
This 87-nucleotide transfer RNA is filed under the name Bacillus mycoides. Its description in RNAcentral is "tRNA-Ser". It matches the Rfam family "tRNA". From Rfam's summary of the family: Transfer RNA (tRNA) molecules are approximately 80 nucleotides in length. Their secondary structure includes four short double-helical elements and three loops (D, anti-codon, and T loops). Further hydrogen bonds mediate the characteristic L-shaped molecular structure. tRNAs have two regions of fundamental functional importance: the anti-codon, which is responsible for specific mRNA codon recognition, and the 3' end, to which the tRNAs corresponding amino acid is attached (by aminoacyl-tRNA synthetases). tRNAs cope with the degeneracy of the genetic code in two manners: having more than one tRNA (with a specific anti-codon) for a particular amino acid; and 'wobble' base-pairing, i.e. permitting non-standard base-pairing at the 3rd anti-codon position. RNAcentral also lists the same sequence under 4 other names. Lineage: Bacteria; Bacillati; Bacillota; Bacilli; Caryophanales; Bacillaceae. The record is from RNAcentral.